UUAAAUUGAAGAGUUUGAUCAUGGCUCAGAUUGAACGCUGGCGGCAGGCCUAACACAUGCAAGUCGAACGGUAACAGGAAGCAGCUUGCUGCUUCGCUGACGAGUGGCGGACGGGUGAGUAAUGUCUGGGAAAACUGCCUGAUGGAGGGGGAUAACUACUGGAAACGGUGGCUAAUACCGCAUAACGUCGCAAGACCAAAGAGGGGGGACCUUCGGGCCUCUUGCCAUCAGAUGUGCCCAGAUGGGAUUAGCUAGUUGGUGAGGUAACGGCUCACCAAGGCGACGAUCCCUAGCUGGUCUGAGAGGAUGACCAGCCACACUGGAACUGAGACACGGUCCAGACUCCUACGGGAGGCAGCAGUGGGGAAUAUUGCACAAUGGGCGCAAGCCUGAUGCAGCCAUGCCGCGUGUAUGAAGAAGGCCUUCGGGUUGUAAAGUACUUUCAGCGGGGAGGAAGGUGUUGUGGUUAAUAACCGCAGCAAUUGACGUUACCCGCAGAAGAAGCACCGGCUAACUCCGUGCCAGCAGCCGCGGUAAUACGGAGGGUGCAAGCGUUAAUCGGAAUUACUGGGCGUAAAGCGCACGCAGGCGGUCUGUCAAGUCGGAUGUGAAAUCCCCGGGCUCAACCUGGGAACUGCAUUCGAAACUGGCAGGCUUGAGUCUUGUAGAGGGGGGUAGAAUUCCAGGUGUAGCGGUGAAAUGCGUAGAGAUCUGGAGGAAUACCGGUGGCGAAGGCGGCCCCCUGGACAAAGACUGACGCUCAGGUGCGAAAGCGUGGGGAGCAAACAGGAUUAGAUACCCUGGUAGUCCACGCCGUAAACGAUGUCUACUUGGAGGUUGUGCCCUUGAGGCGUGGCUUCCGGAGCUAACGCGUUAAGUAGACCGCCUGGGGAGUACGGCCGCAAGGUUAAAACUCAAAUGAAUUGACGGGGGCCCGCACAAGCGGUGGAGCAUGUGGUUUAAUUCGAUGCAACGCGAAGAACCUUACCUGGUCUUGACAUCCACAGAACUUUCCAGAGAUGGAUUGGUGCCUUCGGGAACUGUGAGACAGGUGCUGCAUGGCUGUCGUCAGCUCGUGUUGUGAAAUGUUGGGUUAAGUCCCGCAACGAGCGCAACCCUUAUCCUUUGUUGCCAGCGAUUAGGUCGGGAAACUCAAAGGAGACUGCCAGUGAUAAACUGGAGGAAGGUGGGGAUGACGUCAAGUCAUCAUGGCCCUUACGACCAGGGCUACACACGUGCUACAAUGGCGCAUACAAAGAGAAGCGACCUCGCGAGAGCAAGCGGACCUCAUAAAGUGCGUCGUAGUCCGGAUUGGAGUCUGCAACUCGACUCCAUGAAGUCGGAAUCGCUAGUAAUCGUGGAUCAGAAUGCCACGGUGAAUACGUUCCCGGGCCUUGUACACACCGCCCGUCACACCAUGGGAGUGGGUUGCAAAAGAAGUAGGUAGCUUAACCUUCGGGAGGGCGCUUACCACUUUGUGAUUCAUGACUGGGGUGAAGUCGUAACAAGGUAACCGUAGGGGAACCUGCGGUUGGAUCACCUCCUUACCUUAAAGAA
RNAcentral lists this ribosomal RNA (1557 nucleotides) under Salmonella enterica subsp. enterica serovar Newport str. S09097. RNAcentral describes it as "bacterial SSU rRNA". It matches the Rfam family "Bacterial small subunit ribosomal RNA". The record is from RNAcentral. Lineage: Bacteria; Pseudomonadati; Pseudomonadota; Gammaproteobacteria; Enterobacterales; Enterobacteriaceae.